CGGAUUGAAGGCUGAAAUUACGCCUUCAUAAAGCUGGAAUUGCUAGUAAUGGCAGGUCAGCAUACUGCCGUGAAUACGUUCCCGGGCCUUGUACACACCGCCCGUCACACCAUGAGAGUUGGGAAUACCCGAAGCCUGUGAGCUAACUGUAAGGAGGCAGCAGUCGAAGGUAGAAUCAAUGAUUGGGGUGAAGUCGUAACAAGGUACC
Molecule: ribosomal RNA, 208 nt
Filed under: uncultured bacterium
Lineage: Bacteria
Description: partial 16S ribosomal RNA
Rfam family: Bacterial small subunit ribosomal RNA
Source: RNAcentral